Molecule: ribosomal RNA, 428 nt
Filed under: uncultured archaeon
Lineage: Archaea
Description: bacterial SSU rRNA
Rfam family: Archaeal small subunit ribosomal RNA
Source: RNAcentral
UACCUGCAGCUCGAGUGGUAACCGCUAUUAUUGGGCCUAAAGCGUCCGUAGCCGGUUUGGUAAAAAUCUGGGUAAAUCGUGAGGCUUAACUUCACGAAUUUCGGAUAGACUGCCAGACUUGGGAUCGGGGGAGGUCAGAGGUACUCCAGGGGUAGCGGUGAAAUGUUGUAAUCCUUGGAGGACCACCGGUAGCGAAGGCGUCUGACUAGAACGAGUCCGACGGUGAGGGACGAAGCCCUGGGGCGCAAACCGGAUUAGAUACCCGGGUAGUCCAGGGUGUAAACUAUGUGGGCUUUGUAUUGGAGGUCCCACGUGGGCGUCCAGUGCAGAAGAGAAGUUGUUAAGCCCACCGCCUGGGAAGUACGGUCGCAAGGCUGAAACUUAAAGGAAUUGGCGGGGAGCACAGCAACGGGAGGAGCGUGCGGUUU